AGUACCUGAAACCUUGUGCUUACAAGCAGACAUAGCCCGUUAAAGGGUGGUGUCGUACUUUUUGUAGAACGGUCCGGCGAGUUAUAGUAACUGGCGAGCUUAAGGUAUUCAGUACCGGAGGCGAAGGGAAACCGAGUGUGAAUAGCGCGUGAAGUCAGUUGCCAUAGACCCGAAACCAGGUGACCUAGCCAUGUCCAGGAUGAAGUGGAGGUAAAGCUCCAUGGAGGUCCGAACCCACGUACGUUGCAAUGUCCGGGGAUGAGGUGUGGCUAGCGGUGAAAUUCCAAACGAACUUGGAGAUAGCUGGUUCUCCCCGAAAUAGCUUUAGGGCUAGCGUAGGUAAUGAGUUUCACGGAGGUAAAGCACUGUCUGAGCUAGGGGGCGAUAAGCUUACUGAACUCUAACAAACUAAGAAUGCCGUAGAAAUGCUUACCUGCAGUCAGACUGCGAGUAAUAAAAUCCGUGGUCAAAAGGGAAACAGCCCAGACCCACAGCUAAGGUCCCAAAUAUACGCUAAGUGGAAAACGAUGUGAGAUUGCAUAAACAACCAGGAUGUUGGCUUAGAGGCAGCCACUCGUUCAAAGAGUGCGUAAUAGCUCACUGGUCGAGUGAUCUUGCGCGGAAAAUUUAACGGGGCUAAGCGUAUAACCGAAGCUUGGGAAUGUCGAAAGACAUUGGUAGGGGAGCGUCGUGUAUGGGGUGAAGUCGCAUCGGAAGGAGCGGUGGACUGUACACGAGUGAGAAUGCCGGAAUGAGUAGCGAGAAUUAUGUGGGAAUCAUAAUGGCCGAAAAUCUAAGGUUUCCUGGGGAAGGUUCGUCCGCCCAGGGUAAGCCGGGAGCUAAGGCGAGGCCGCGAGGCGUAGUCGAUGCACAUACGGUAGAAAUUCCGUAGCCACCUCACACGAGAAAGCUGACACAUGGAGAUAGUCGAACCCGGCCGUUGGUCGCGCCGGGCGAAAGGGACCGAACUUAUAGUAGGGAAGUCGAUGAUGCUCUGUGGCGAGAAAAGGCGAAGUGAGGUGCCCGUACCGCAAACCGACACAGGUAGAUGAGGAGAGAAUCCUAAGGCCAACGGGAGAAGGGUUGUUAAGGAACUCGGCAAAUUGACCCCGUAACUUCGGGAUAAGGGGAGCCUCCUACGGGAGGCCGCAGUGAAUAGGCCCAAGCAACUGUUUACCAAAAACACAGGUCUCUGCUAAAUCGAAAGAUGACGUAUAGGGGCUGACGCCUGCCCGGUGCCGGAAGGUUAAGAGGAGAGCUUAGCGCAAGCGAAGGUUCGAAUUGAAGCCCCGGUAAACGGCGGCCGUAACUAUAACGGUCCUAAGGUAGCGAAAUUCCUUGUCAGGUAAGUUCUGACCCGCACGAAUGGCGUAAUGAUUUGGGCACUGUCUCAACAGCCCGCCCGGCGAAAUUGUAGUACUGGUGAAGAUGCCAGUUACCCGCAACUAGACGGAAAGACCCCAUGGAGCUUUACUGUAGCCUAAUACUGAAGAUCGGUAAUGCAUGUACAGGAUAGGUGGGAGCCAGCGAAACCCGGGCGUCAGCUCGGAUGGAGGCAACCUUGGAAUACCACCCUUGUAUUGCUGGUUUUCUAACCUGCGGCCAUGAAUCUGGUCGGGGGACACUGUUAGGUGGGCAGUUUGACUGGGGCGGUCGCCUCCAAAAGCGUAACGGAGGCGCUCAAAGGUUGGCUCAGCACGGACGGAAAUCGUGCAUAGAGUGCAAACGCAUAAGCCAACUUGACUGCGAGACCGACGGGUCGAGCAGGUACGAAAGUAGGAGUUAGUGAUCCGGUGGUAUGUGAGUGGAAAUGCCAUCGCUCAACGGAUAAAA
This 1833-nucleotide ribosomal RNA is filed under the name human gut metagenome. RNAcentral describes it as "bacterial LSU rRNA". It matches the Rfam family "Bacterial large subunit ribosomal RNA", at positions 545 to 2461 of the family's 2925-position model. The record is from RNAcentral.